GACGAACCGUCCAACCGUUAUUCGGAAUCACUGGGCUUACAGAGUUCGUAGGCGGUCUGGAAAGUUGGGUGUGAAAUCCCUCGGCUCAACCGAGGAACUGCGCUUGAAACUACCAGACUCGAGGGAGAUAGAGGAAAGCGGAACUGAUGGUGGAGCGGUGAAAUGCGUUGAUAUCAUCAGGAACACCGGUGGCGAAGGCGGCUUUCUGGACGGACACUGACGCUGAGACGCGAAAGCGUGGGUAGCAAACAGG
This 253-nucleotide ribosomal RNA is filed under the name uncultured bacterium. RNAcentral describes it as "partial 16S ribosomal RNA". It matches the Rfam family "Bacterial small subunit ribosomal RNA", at positions 524 to 776 of the family's 1533-position model. The record is from RNAcentral.